This 244-nucleotide ribosomal RNA is filed under the name uncultured bacterium. Its description in RNAcentral is "partial 16S ribosomal RNA". It matches the Rfam family "Bacterial small subunit ribosomal RNA", at positions 534 to 776 of the family's 1533-position model. The record is from RNAcentral.
GCAAGCGUUGUUCGGAUUUACUGGGCGUAAAGGGCGCGUAGGCGGCCACCGCAAGUCGACUGUGAAAUCUCCGGGCUUAACCCGGAAAGGUCAGCCGAUACUGCGGGGCUAGAGUGCAGAAGGGGCAACUGGAAUUCUCGGUGUAGCGGUGAAAUGCGUAGAUAUCGAGAGGAACACCUGCGGCGAAGGCGGGUUGCUGGGCUGACACUGACGCUGAGGCGCGAAAGCCAGGGGAGCGAACGGG